RNAcentral lists this long non-coding RNA (743 nucleotides) under Sarcophilus harrisii (Tasmanian devil). RNAcentral's name for it is "lncRNA (ENSSHAG00000021608.1)". Lineage: Eukaryota; Metazoa; Chordata; Mammalia; Dasyuromorphia; Dasyuridae. The record is from RNAcentral.
AGGCAGUCAUGCCGUAGAAUGAGAAUCAAAAAAUGGAACCUUUUCUCAAGAAUUUCAAGGCAGGCACAAAACAGCUUUGUGGCAUGUGGUAUGAGUGACAUUAACACCCUGGGAAAUAGCCACUGGUCUACUCUCCCGAGGAGGGAAACGAUUUGUCAGAUUAUGGAUCUGUACUUCUCAUAGAAUUUCAAGAGUUGGAAGUUAACUUUAUUAAGAUCCUCUAUUCUCAACAUGUCACUGAUUAAUCAUCAGCUCCCCAGAGAAGAUCAUUCAGCCUCUGCCUGGAGGUUUCCAAUGAGGGCUUGCCUACUAUUGCACAUGGCAGCAUGUUCUACUUCUGGACAUCUCUAAUUGUUAGAAAAAUUUUCCUUAUGUAAAUUUGUUUCUCUGUUCCUUCUACUUGUUGCUUCUAGUUUUAAUUAUCAUUUUCUUUUUAGUAUAUAGUCCCUUUCUUAAAAAAAUUUGCAUUGAUAUUCAUUAGAAAUAUUGAUCUGUAAAUGUUUUUGUCUAAUCUCUCUCUGGUUUAGGUAUUAAGAUUAUAUUGGUAGCAUAAGUUGAGGUUUUCAUUUUCUUCCCAUUUUUAUAGGUUCUUUAAUAACAGAAUUCAUUUGUUUGAAUGAUUAGUAUAAUUCAUUUAUGAAUCCUUCCAGUCCUGGUCUUUUUCUUUUAGAAGAUCAUUUACUUUGUUUAAUUUGUUUUCCUGAAAUUAUAUUGUUUUCUAUUUUGUGUUCUUUUAAUUUGUG